Molecule: ribosomal RNA, 1372 nt
Filed under: uncultured bacterium
Lineage: Bacteria
Description: bacterial SSU rRNA
Rfam family: Bacterial small subunit ribosomal RNA
Source: RNAcentral
GAUGAACGCUGGCGGCGUGCCUAAUACAUGCAAGUCGAGCGAACGGACGAGAAGCUUGCUUUUCUGAUGUUAGCGGCGGACGGGUGAGUAACACGUGGAUAACCUACCUAUAAGACUGGGAUAACUUCGGGAAACCGGAGCUAAUACCGGAUAAUAUUUUGAACCGCAUGGUUCAAAAGUGAAAGACGGUCUUGCUGUCACUUAUAGAUGGAUCCGCGCUGCAUUAGCUAGUUGGUAAGGUAACGGCUUACCAAGGCAACGAUGCAUAGCCGACCUGAGAGGGUGAUCGGCCACACUGGAACUGAGACACGGUCCAGACUCCUACGGGAGGCAGCAGUAGGGAAUCUUCCGCAAUGGGCGAAAGCCCGACGGAGCAACGCCGCGUGAGUGAUGAAGGUCUUCGGAUCGUAAAACUCUGUUAUUAGGGAAGAACAUAUGUGUAAGUAACUGUGCACAUCUUGACGGUACCUAAUCAGAAAGCCACGGCUAACUACGUGCCAGCAGCCGCGGUAAUACGUAGGUGGCAAGCGUUAUCCGGAAUUAUUGGGCGUAAAGCGCGCGUAGGCGGUUUUUUAAGUCUGAUGUGAAAGCCCACGGCUCAACCGUGGAGGGUCAUUGGAAACUGGAAAACUUGAGUGCAGAAGAGGAAAGUGGAAUUCCAUGUGUAGCGGUGAAAUGCGCAGAGAUGUGGAGGAACACCAGUGGCGAAGGCGACUUUCUGGUCUGUAACUGACGCUGAUGUGCGAAAGCGUGGGGAUCAAACAGGAUUAGAUACCCUGGUAGUCCACGCCGUAAACGAUGAGUGCUAAGUGUUAGGGGGUUUCCGCCCCUUAGUGCUGCAGCUAACGCAUUAAGCACUCCGCCUGGGGAGUACGACCGCAAGGUUGAAACUCAAAGGAAUUGACGGGGGCCCGCACAAGCGGUGGAGCAUGUGGUUUAAUUCGAAGCAACGCGAAGAACCUUACCAAAUCUUGACAUCCUUUGACAACUCUAGAGAUAGAGCCUUCCCCUUCGGGGGACAAAGUGACAGGUGGUGCAUGGUUGUCGUCAGCUCGUGUCGUGAGAUGUUGGGUUAAGUCCCGCAACGAGCGCAACCCUUAAGCUUAGUUGCCAUCAUUAAGUUGGGCACUCUAAGUUGACUGCCGGUGACAAACCGGAGGAAGGUGGGGAUGACGUCAAAUCAUCAUGCCCCUUAUGAUUUGGGCUACACACGUGCUACAAUGGACAAUACAAAGGGCAGCGAAACCGCGAGGUCAAGCAAAUCCCAUAAAGUUGUUCUCAGUUCGGAUUGUAGUCUGCAACUCGACUACAUGAAGCUGGAAUCGCUAGUAAUCGUAGAUCAGCAUGCUACGGUGAAUACGUUCCCGGGUCU